Molecule: long non-coding RNA, 9737 nt
Organism: Ictalurus punctatus (channel catfish)
Lineage: Eukaryota; Metazoa; Chordata; Actinopteri; Siluriformes; Ictaluridae
Source: Ensembl
UUCAGGAUUAUUCCAUAAUGAUGCAUAUGACUAUCUAUAAUGUGAUGUCUGGCACAUUUUAUGAAUUUUGCUCCAAACAUGUCAUGAAUGUAUUUUCACUGGAUGUAUUUCCCAUUUAGCUCCAGAGCAUUGUGAAAGAAUGCUAAUGGGAUGAAGUGGUGAGGCUAGAUUCUAUUGUGUCUUGACCAGUCCAAUUCAGAAUCUGCCUCGUCCCAAUGUUUAAGCCAGUUUGGCGGUUUCAAAGGAGAAAUUAUACAUUCGCACAUUGGGUAAUCCAAGGCCCCCCUUGUCCUUUGGGGAGGUCAACCUGCUCAUUUUAAUCCUGGGUCUUUUUCCUUCCCAUAGAAAAUCCUUGAUAAUUUUGUCAUAUGUUUUAAAAAUAGGGUCUGGAAUGUUCACAGGUGUCAUCACUGAUAUAAAAUUGAACUGCGAAGCAAUAACCAUUUUGAAUAUAUUCACUUUACCCCAUAGAGAGCUGCAGCUGUUCCCAUUUGUCCACAUUAUUAUAUAUAUAUUUUUUAUCUUUGACAGCAGUACUUCAUAAUUCAACAUCAUUAUAUCCUCCAAAUUCUGCGUUAGUUUAAUGCCAAGUACUUCAUACCCUUCAGAAUCCAUUUAAAGCCAAAUUAGGUCACUGUAUGGGAAUGACAUGUUCUAGAUAGGCAUAGCCUCAGAUUUCUCCCAGUUUAUUUUGCAUCCUGACACACUUGAAUAUAAUUGAAUAAUACUCAUUAAUGGAGAUAGAGAUUUGAGAGUAUCACGGGAUAACAAAAAAAACAUAUCAUAACUUGUAUUCCAUCCCCUCCUCUACCUCCCUUACUCCCACAAUGUUUGGGUCUGCUUAUAAUAUUCAGCUGGAAACCCAUCCGCCCCUGGUGAUUUGCCAGACUUCAUAGAGGUUAUUGCAGCUUUGACCUGCUCUUGUUAAUGGGAAGGUCUAGAGACUCGGAUUGCAAUACAUCUAAUUUAGGUAACUCUAUAUUACAAAAUUUUUUUCAGUUUUUCUCCAUCCAGACUACCUGAAGAUGUAUAUAAAUGUUUAUAGAACUUCUGAAAACCUCUUUUAUUUCCUUUGUUAGUGAUACCAUAGCAUAUCCUUUCUUAAUUGCUGGAAUAAUGUUAGCAGCAUUUUGUGUUUUAAUUGUCUGGAAAGGAGCUUGCCCGCUUUUUCACCUCCUUCAUAAAAACCUUGUCCGUAGUCUAAAUAGUGCAUAUUCAUCUUUUUUAUUAUAUAUAAAAUAUUGUAAUUGAAAUUUGUAUUUACAAAUAUCCUGAUAUAGAUCAGUAGAGUAUCAUCUAGUCAGCUCCUUCUCCAAUGUACAAAUUGUUGCUUCAAAUUUCUUAACCGAGUCUCUUCCUUCCAUUUUUUUCUUUCUAGCUGUAUGUGCAAUCAGUUUUCCUCUAAUGUAUGCCUAGUGCUUCCCACAUUCAAUUAAAAGAAGGAAGUCAGAUCAUCAGCCAAUAAUGUGUUAAACUCUUCAUCUUGUAAUAAUGCAGUAUUUCAAUGCCACCUUCCCUUUCUACCAGCUUCCGUACUUAGCGCUAAAUCCAAUUCCAAUCGUGUGGUCUGACAAUACUAUUGCUCCAAUUUUACAAUUUAAUCUACUACCUGAUCAAUGAUAGAAUUCGAAAGCAAGAAAAAAGAGUGAGAUUUAUGGCAAUGAGAAAAAAUGAACAACCCCAAUUCCAAAAAAGUUGGGACGCUGUGUAAAAUGUAAAUAGAAAUAGAAUGAUUUGCAAACCUUAUAAACCCAUAUGUUAUUCACUAAUUGCAUUCUGUUUUCAUUUAUUUACAUUUUACAGUGUCCAAAAUUCUUUUCAAAAUUGGGGUUGUAUACUCUCUUUCUGUUGGAGUGACCAGGCGCCAUAUGUCAAUCAAUCCAAUAUCCUCUUUUAGCAUAAGAAGGGAAGAUCUAUCUCUUGGUAUAGAAAGUCCUUGAUAUUUACUCUUAACCAUAAUCCCAUCCAUAACCUGAAUAAAUUCCUCAGCCAAAAUUAUUUGCCCCUCUUUGUCACCAAGAAUCUUGUUUACUUUAUUAAUAAAACCCGGAUCUGUAUUAAUAGGGGCAUACACAUAAUAUCACUUUAGAUUAUAUGCAAUGUAUAUGACUUCCAUUAAUGAGGGUUUCUAUACACAUAAUCCUCUCAACAUCGACUUUAGUUUCUGUUAUCAUUACAAAAUUCAGCCUCUAAUUUAUCAGGAUCAUUACUUAAUUUUGUUUGCUCAUAAAUAAUGAAUAAAAUACAUUUGUACGGAAGCCCUAAGCGGCCAUGCAUUAUUAAUUUUUUUCUUUGUUGUUUUCUCGUGAUUGUGACAUAAAAAAAGCUGUUUCCUUGUGACGUAAAUUUAUCACGAGAAAAUCUCACGCUUUGUGAAUGGGACUGGUGUUACAUGCAAGUUGGCAUCUACACCAUUAUAAAUAUAAUAAUUUCCUGUUGUAGAGAUGGAUUUUAUCUCCACAUUAAGAGAGAGGGAUAUCCUCUUCUCAAGUGUCGGACACUGGAGUGGCAGUCGUCAAUCCUGCAGGGAUGAGGUAUAUUUUUGUAGGCCAACCCGGAAGUUAUUAUCACCCUGGUUCCCUCGACAAAAAUCCAAUAAGAGUUUUCCAGUGAAUUUGGAUUAUUGCAGAAAAUAAACACUGUGACUAACAAGUAUAAACACAACAAGGCUGUAGUAGAUUAGUUUUCCUGUUUGGCGUGAUGAUGUUUAAUGUCCUCGACAACCUCUGUAAUACCAUUUAGCCACUUGUUAGCAACUGUCUCUUUCAAGACACGUAAAAGCUUUAAAAAAAAAAAAAAUCCUGAGUGGGGUAUUACUGAUGUGUUUUAGUGGUUCACAAACUGGGGUACGUGAGGUGACGGAGGGGGUACGGGAGCAAAAGGCUGAGAUUUACUGUUCAUUUAAUUCCGCCUCACUGAAUAACAUUAAAAUUCUAAUCCAUGUUUUUCUCACGGCCAAAAAAUAAACUUGUGCCCCCUCCAGUGUACAAACAGCAAAAUUGCAAUGUUAUAAAGGUCAAAUAUAUGACAUCCAGUCAAAUUAUCCUGUCAAAACACAUUUUGUUGGACUGCAAAAGGUAUGAGGAGGAAAGAACUGAGCUAGAGAUGCAGAUUGGAAAACAAAACAUGACACUAGAGAACUUGCUGGGGAAAACAUCUGGGAAAAUGCACCGCCCCCUAAUAAACUAUUUAAAAAAUGCUGGGAUAAGUGAGAGACUUUAGUAAUCUAGUAGGAAUAUCUACUAUACAGCUAUUUGUCUCUUUAUUUUCUUUUAUUUAUGUAUUAUUGUGUUGGUAUUAUUAUUAUUAAUUUGUUUCUUUUAUUUUUUAUUUUAUUAUAUUUUCCUUAUUUAUUAUUUGGUUGUUUUUCUUUUCUUGCCCAUCUACUGCCUACACUCCAGUCCAGUAGGUGGCGGUAAUGCACCUUUAGUGGUUUGCCAACCGCCAUUAAAACAUGAAGAAGAAGAAGAAGAAGAAGAAAUUAUCCUGUCUUUCGCGGUCAAAACUGCAUCCACUCACAAUCAUGCGUCAGUGCGCAUCUUACCGCAUGUCAUUUAUCACCAGCACAUGGCUAUAUGAUGAAGUUAAGUAAUAGCUCGUAACCUUAAAAUGGAGAAGUACAAAGAUUUCGGCCCGCAACCACAGCAAGCACCGCUGAUCCCCAGUCCUCAGACAGCAGUGGCCCAGGUCCCUCUAACACCGCAUCCGUAGCAAGUGUACUCAUUGCUACUAGCCCAGGUCACACUGAUGCAGACAGCGAUGUAUGAGUUGAAACGCCAUCUCUUCUUCACAAGCAGUUCGCAGAAAAAACAUCAAAGAUGCGCAGAUAUGAUGAGAAAUAUAUUUCUUUGGGCUUUACAUACGCUGACAGUGAAGAAAAUCCCCAGCCACAGUGUGUAUAUGUGCAAACGUACUCUUUCAUAACUGCAUGAAACCAGCAUUUCUGCGCAGACAUUUAGAAACAAAGCAUGCCAUUUACUUUUUGCUAAAUAAACCUCGAGAGCUUUUUGAAAGACAUUUAAGACAACUCAGAAGUAGUAAGACCCUCAUAACAGUGUAGGAAAACCUAAAUAGGAAGGUCUGGAAGCAUCCUACAUGGUGAGCUACAGAGUGGCUGAGACAGGAAAACCCCAUACUAUUGUGGAGGACUUCAUUCUUCCUGCUGCAGCUGAUAUAGCUGGUUUAAUGCUUGGCGAAAAGCCCCCAAAACAAAAAAACAAUAGAGAGGAUGCCAUUUGGUAAGGUGAAAUUGAUUAAAUUUAUAUUUCUCAAUUUAUUUAAUCAUUCCUCUCUUUCCCUUGUAAACAUUACACAAUCAUACAUGUUCAACAGUCUUCACCACAUGUCAAGCAUAAUCAUGUUUGAUGUUUCCCUAUUUUCAGCAACGAAUGAUUUAAUCCAGAAUGUCCUAUUCGGAGCCGAGUGAUAAUUGUAUUUUCUCUCCUAUUUUUUGAGACCUAUUCUCCCUUUCCCAACCUGUUUUUGGCUAUUGAAUAGGUGCCUUCCCUUUUUUCCUUUGUCCCACAUUUCACAUUCACAAGUUCUCUCAUUCUUCCUUCUACUGCUUCUUUACCUAGUGGUAUAUGGUAUAUAUGGUAUAACUUUAACAUCCACAUGAUCCAUUGUCCACUAUUUCAUUUCCUCAUACUCCCACAUGUGCUGCUACACAAAGAAAUCUCAGAACCAUCCCUAGUUUCUGAAUUCUAAGCAGAUGUGUAAGUAUCUCAUAUACUAAAUCUUGUCUUGAAUCAGACUUCCCAUUUAAUAAGCUAUUUAAAGGUGAUUGAGAGUCUGGACAAAUAGCAGCAAAAUCACUAUAAACUCUGUUGUAAAAACUGAUACAUAAUUAGUUGUCCAUUUUUUUAAUGCUGCCUUUGAACCUCUUAAUAUAUACCACCGCAGCUGUUUUUUCUAAUGUAGGAUCUUUUGAACCAUUGGUGAAUAUGUGGGGCAUUGAAGAGUAUUCCUGAUCUAAAUACUGCUGUACAAUAACCUCCUUAGGUAUAUAUGUUUCAUUCUUAACUUUAUAUUAUAGAUGGAAAUUGACUUGAGCCAUGGGGAACAACCAGGGAGGUUUAUUUAGUACUACAAUUGUUGGAUUAACUGAAGUUUCUGUAACUCCCAAAUUCAUAGACUCUUUAUUCGCUGUCCAACCAAAACUUCUUAUAUUAUUAUUCCCACACUUCCAGCACUCUUGUAGUAUUUCCUUAACUGGGUGUGUCUCAGAAUGUCCUUUCAUAUUAAUCCAAUAAUUCAUUGUUAAUUUUAACUUGCGUAUACACAUGGGCAUUUCUCCCACCUCCAUUUGCGCUGCUGUUAUUGGAGAGGAUACAAAAGCACCACAACAUAUUCUUAACAAUUGUGCCUGUACUGUUUCAAUUUUCCUCAUCAAGGCUAAUGAUGCAGACCCAUAUAUUAUAUAUCCAUAAUUCAGUAGUGACCUGAUCAAUGCACAAUAUAUUUGUUAUGAAGAUUUUUGACUAGCUCCCCAUUCCAUUCCUGCUAGACAUCUUAAUAAAUUAUUAAUUUUUUUGUUUAUUUAUAUAUAUUAUGACUGGUUAAUUGCUGUCUGGAAAGCAUGAAUCACAGAUCGAGCUUUUGCUGAUGUAAAUGGUGCCAUGGAACAGUUAAAACGUAGUCAUAAUAAUCACUAAGGCCUUGUAUAUAUUUCCAGGUUGCCAAGGGCAAACUGCUUUAUGUUUGUGUUCAUGUAUGUUUCAGUGACAGCAGAUGGCAGUGAAGAGAAGCAGCGUUAUUAGAUUAGACAUUCCCAAACUAGAUGUGUUUGUGGACAGUGGGGAUCUGUUCUCUGAUAUGCUGGGACACGUGAUAGGACUGACGGAAAGUCCCAGCUUUAUUUAUACUCAACAUCAUUCUGGGUUGUUCCCCUCAUACCAGUCAACGCUUUUAAUAAGAAGAAUUUGAACCUGUUUCACUAAAUUUUAAUGUUUAUGUGCGUCAGAACCUUUUUUUCAGCACAGAUAAUAAAAAACUGCACAACUUAAACACAGAGAGUAGUGUAUACAGGUAAGUGACACUCAGUGCCCCUGCUUUUUUUUUAAAGUUAUCAUUUGCUAGAAAAGAAACUCUCUAGAUUUUACCGGGCUGAUUGCUCAGAUUUAUUAUUUCCUACACUGUCAGUCAAAUGUUUACCUUUUUGGUUAAACUUAAAGAAAUGAGUUAAAUACCAUAGAAUUACAGACACAUACACUCACCAUCCAGUUUAUUAGAAAGAUCUGUACACGGGAGUCAUUCGUGCAGUUAUCCAGUCAGCCAAUCAUGUGGCAGCAGCACAAUGUAUAAAAUCACGCAGAUACAGGCCAAAGCUUCAGUUCUCUGUAAACUUUAGAGACUGUUGUGUGUGAAAAUCCCAGGAGAUCAGGAGUUUCUGAAUUAUUCAAAUCAGCCCCUCUGGCAGCAACAACCAUGCCACAUUUAAGGUCACAGGGAUGCCACCCCCCACCCCCCAUUCUGAUGCUUGACAUUAACAUUAACUGAAGCUCUUGAUCUGUAUCUGCAUUAUUUUUUGCAUUGAACUGUUGCCACAUGAUUGGCUGAUUGGUUAACUGCAUGAAUGAGCAGAUGUACCUAUUAAAGUGGAUGACAUGUUUUGUGUUACACUUGACAAUAUGUCUAAUAUCAACUGUAAGAUCAGUGUAGACUUAGAGUAACAUCUCCAUGGCACCAGUACCUCACUUAUGGAUCUGUGAAAGAUGAAGACAGACGCCACAUUGAGAGAGAUAAAGGAGUGGCUGGCACACCCGUGUCACACACUUCAAAGCCGGGCAAGGAGGAGCAGGAACCUCGAUGGAUGGAUGGAUGUCGAGUACACAGGAAAAAAAUCACGAGAAUAUAACUUUUGUUAUAUCGAGAUCACCAGAAAACAAGAAAGAAAAAAAUAAUAAUGCAUGGCUGCUUAGCGUUUCCCUGUUUAAUGGCGGUUGACAAGCCAAUUAAUGGUGUAUUACCGCCACCAAGUGGACUGGAGUGUGAAGCAUUAAUAAGAAGGGGUAUAUAAUAUGUUUAUUAAAUCCUAUGUUCCAAUCCUGUUCCCCUGAGAUAAUUAAGUAUUUUUCUUUGUAUUUUUGACUGUCCUGAAGCACAAUUCAAUAGGUUUGGUAAGGUGAAAUUGAUUAAAUUUAUAUUUCUCAAUUUAUUUAAUCAUUCCUCUCUUUCCCUUGUAAACAUUACACAAUCAUACAUGUUCAACAGUCUUCACCACAUGUCAAGCAUAAUCAUGUUUGAUGUUUCCCUAUUUUCAGCAAUGAAUGAUUUAAUCCAGAAUGUCCUAUUCGGAGCCGAGUGAUAAUUGUAUUUUCUCUCCUAUUUUUUGAGACCUAUUCUCCCUUUCCCAACCUGUUUUUGGCUAUUGAAUAGGUGCCUUCCCUUUUUUCCUUUGUCCCACAUUUCACAUUCACAAGUUCUCUCAUUCUUCCUUCUACUGCUUCUUUACCUAGUGGUAUAUGGUAUAUAUGGUAUAACUUUAACAUCCACAUGAUCCAUUGUCCACUAUUUCAUUUCCUCAUACUCCCACAUGUGCUGCUACACAAAGAAAUCUCAGAACCAUCCCUAGUUUCUGAAUUCUAAGCAGAUGUGUAAGUAUCUCAUAUACUAAAUCUUGUCUUGAAUCAGACUUCCCAUUUAAUAAGCUAUUUAAAGGUGAUUGAGAGUCUGGACAAAUAGCAGCAAAAUCACUAUAAACUCUGUUGUAAAAACUGAUACAUAAUUAGUUGUCCAUUUUUUUAAUGCUGCCUUUGAACCUCUUAAUAUAUACCACUGCAGCUGUUUUUUCUAAUGUAGGAUCUUUUGAACCAUUGGUGAAUAUGUGGGGCAUUGAAGAGUAUUCCUGAUCUAAAUACUGCUGUACAAUAACCUCCUUAGGUAUAUAUGUUUCAUUCUUAACUUUAUAUUGUAGAUGGAAAUUGACUUGAGCCAUGGGGAACAACCAGGGAGGUUUAUUUAGUACUACAAUUGUUGGAUUAACUGAAGUUUCUGUAACUCCCAAAUUCAUAGACUCUUUAUUCGCUGUCCAACCAAAACUUCUUAUAUUAUUAUUCCCACACUUCCAGCACUCUUGUAGUAUUUCCUUAACUGGGUGUGUCUCAGAAUGUCCUUUCAUAUUAAUCCAAUAAUUCAUUGUUAAUUUUAACUUGCGUAUACACAUGGGCAUUUCUCCCACCUCCAUUUGUGCUGCUGUUAUUGGAGAGGAUACAAAAGCACCACAACAUAUUCUUAACAAUUGUGCCUGUACUGUUUCAAUUUUCCUCAUCAAGGCUAAUGACGCAGACCCAUAUAUAUCCAUAAUUCAGUAGUGACCUGAUCAAUGCACAAUUUAUUUGUUAUGAAGAUUUUUGACUAGCUCCCCAUUCCAUUCCUGCUAGACAUCUUAAUAAAUUAUUAAUUUUUUUGUUUAUUUAUAUAUAUUAUGACUGGUUAAUUGCUGUCUGGAAAGCAUGAAUCACAGCUGGAGCUUUUGCUGAUGUAAAUGGUGCCAUGGAACAGUUAAAACAUAGUCAUAAUAAUCACUAAGGCCUUGUAUAUAUUUCCAGGUUGCCAAGGGCAAACUGCUUUAUGUUUGUGUUCAUGUAUGUUUCAGUGACAGCAGAUGGCAGUGAAGAGAAUCAGCGUUAUUAGAUUAGACAUUCCCAAAGUAGAUGUGUUUGUGGACAGUGGGGAUCUGUUCCCUGAUAUGCUGGGACACGUGAUAGGACUGACGGAAAGUCCCAGCUUUAUUUAUACUCAACAUCAUUCUGGGUUGUUCCCCUCAUACCAGUCAACGCUUUUAAUAAGAAGAAUUUGAACCUGUUUCACUAAAUUUGAAUGUUUAUGUGCAUCAGAACCUUUUUUUUCAGCACAGAUAAUAAAAACUGCACAACUUAAACACAGAGAGUAGUGUAUACAGGUAAGUGACACUCAGUGCCCCUGCUUUUUUUUUUUUAAGUUAUCAUUUGCUAGAAAAGAAACUCUCUAGAUUUUACCGGGCUGAUUGCUCAGAUUUAUUACUUCCUACACUGUCAGUCAAAUGUUUACCUUUUUUGGUUAAACUUAAAGAAAUGAGUUAAAUACCAUAGAAUUACAGACACAUACACUCACCAUCCAGUUUAUUAGAAAGAUCUGUACACAGGAGUCAUUCGUGCAGUUAUCCAGUCAGCCAAUCAUGUGGCAGCAGCACAAUGUAUAAAAUCACGCAGAUACAGGUCAAAAGCUUCAGUUCUCUGUAAACUUUAGAGACUGUUGUGUGUGAAAAUCCCAGGAGAUCAGGAGUUUCUGAAUUAUUCAAAUCAGCCCUUCUGGCAGCAACAACCAUGCCACAUUUAAGGUCACAGAGAUAACACUUUUCUCCCUGUUCUGAUGCUUGACAUGAACAUUAACUGAAGCUCUUGAUCUGUAUCUGCAUUAUUUUUGCAUUGCACUGUUGCCACAUGAUUGGCUGAUUGGAUAACUGCAUGAAUGAGCAGACGUUCCUAUUAAAGUUGAUGACGUGUUUUGUUUUACACUUGACACUAUGUCUAAUAUCAACUGUAAGACCAAUGUAGACUUAGAGUAACGUCUCCAUGGCACCAGUACUUCACUUAUGGAUCUGUGAAAGAUGAAGACAGAAGCCACAUUGUAGACAGCAAAGAGCUUCAGAAACACUUGGAUCUCUAUAGCUGCACUUUAGCUGCAGACAUCACACUUUUUCUUUUGUAGAAAGCCUGUGAGAAGACUGCUUCUGUGGUACAGCAUGUCAUUAGGAG